GGCGCCGCAUAAGGAUGCCAAUCAUAUGCGCCGCACGUGUGUUCCAGCUCACGCGCGAGCUUGGCCACAAGUCCGACGGUCAAACCAUCGAGUGGCUCCUCCGCCAGGCCGAGCCCUCCAUCAUCGCCGCCACCGGCUCCGGAACCACCCCCGCCAGCUUCUCCUCCGUCUCCCUCUCCGUCCGCGCCGCCGCCAACUCCCUCUCCUCCCCUUCCUCCACCUCCGACCACAAGCCCCAGUUACUCUCUCCCACUCCCUUCAUCCUCGGCAAGCGCAUACGCACCGACGAAGACUCUUCCAA
Molecule: long non-coding RNA, 301 nt
Filed under: Glycine max (soybean)
Lineage: Eukaryota; Viridiplantae; Streptophyta; Magnoliopsida; Fabales; Fabaceae
Description: long non-coding RNA (GMAX_LNC002370)
Source: RNAcentral